RNAcentral lists this ribosomal RNA (451 nucleotides) under uncultured bacterium. Its description in RNAcentral is "partial 16S ribosomal RNA". It matches the Rfam family "Bacterial small subunit ribosomal RNA", at positions 28 to 506 of the family's 1533-position model. The record is from RNAcentral.
GAUGAACGCUGGUGGCGUGCCUAACACAUGCAGGUCGAGCGAUUCUCUUCGGAGAAGAGCGGCGGACGGGUGAGUAACGCGUGGGUAACCUGCCCUGUACACACGGAUAACAUACCGAAAGGUAUGCUAAUACGAGAUAACAUGCUUUUAUCGCAUGGUAGAAGUAUCAAAGCUUUUGCGGUACAGGAUGGACCCGCGUCUGAUUAGCUAGUUGGUGAGGUAACGGCUCACCAAGGCGACGAUCAGUAGCCGACCUGAGAGGGUGAUCGGCCACAUUGGAACUGAGACACGGUCCAAACUCCUACGGGAGGCAGCAGUGGGGAAUAUUGCACAAUGGGCGAAAGCCUGAUGCAGCAACGCCGCGUGAGCGAUGAAGGCCUUCGGGUCGUAAAGCUCUGUCCUCAAGGAAGAUAAUGACGGUACUUGAGGAGGAAGCCCCGGCUAACUACGU